Long non-coding RNA from Quercus lobata, 562 nucleotides. RefSeq lists it as uncharacterized. Lineage: Eukaryota; Viridiplantae; Streptophyta; Magnoliopsida; Fagales; Fagaceae. The transcript has 5 exons. The record is from RefSeq and is a predicted model, not a curated record.
UUUAACUCUCUCAUUCAAUGCAACUCCCUCCUUUUCUCAGCCACAACUCCUUUGGUUGAAGUCAAUUUUGAUUCAUGGUUAUUUUGUUCUUGAGUUUUUAUCAUCUGGGCAUUGAUUAUUUUUUGGCCCCCUUUCUGGGCAUUUGAUUUUCAGGAUUGACUUGAAGAAUUUGGAUUGUUUUCCGUUUCUGAUGUUGGAUGAAUUUGGAUCCUUUUCCGCUUCUAAUGUUGGACGAUUUUUCAGUGGGGUUUUUCAAACUUGGGCUUCUUCCCAGUUAAGUGAUGAUCUUGCACAUUUGUUUGCUGCCUCCUAAAGAUUGCAAUCUUUGUAGUUCUAUACCUCUAUAAUCAUAAUGCACCAGAGCAUGUGAAUCAGUUUUCGACUAUUAAAGAUUGCAAAGCCAGUACCUCUUUUCUUUGAGAAAUUGAACAUUUUGGUUCUACUUUCAUUUUUGGAUAAAGAGCUGCAUACUUAACUGCAUCGACUCAAGGUGCAGGAGCGGUGGAGAAAGUAGAAGUAGAGGUGGAGAUAAAGGAAUAUAAGUAUGAGAAAUUAGUUAAAG